RNAcentral lists this non-coding RNA (23 nucleotides) under Arabidopsis thaliana (thale cress). The record is from RNAcentral. Lineage: Eukaryota; Viridiplantae; Streptophyta; Magnoliopsida; Brassicales; Brassicaceae.
GCAAAAAGCAAACUCCCCACCAA